This 637-nucleotide long non-coding RNA is filed under the name Lathyrus oleraceus (garden pea). RNAcentral's name for it is "Pisum sativum (pea) long non-coding RNA (PSAT_LNC034028)". Lineage: Eukaryota; Viridiplantae; Streptophyta; Magnoliopsida; Fabales; Fabaceae. The record is from RNAcentral.
GUGUGUGGUUGAUUUGUUUGAACUAUUUACUUUAUUAUUUUGUGUAAAAAUGUAAAUAUAAAAAAAAAAAUCUUUUUUCAUUAGUGACUUAAAGCAUCUCAGACGAUGGUGUCUAAUACAAAUAUAUCUCAAGUCUCAUCUAUACAGCUCAAGGCUUUUGUGUGAUAAAGUCAAAUAUUUAUAUCGAAUUUGUUUGGAGAUGGAUGAUUUUGUGAAAUAAAUUUAAAAGUGAUGUACUUUAAUAAAAAUUUGUGAAAGGCAUAUUAGUAAAUUUCAUCAUGGCAUACUCAUCUUUUGCCUAUGUGGCAGGUUGUAUGUGUGGAGGUUUGCCUAUGUGGCUUGUAUUUUUCUCAAUUGGUAUGCGUGUAUUUUGUGUGGAAGUUGUUUGUGUGGCAAAUUAUAUUUCUUUUAAACUUUUUUGAUUUGUAUUAUUUUUUUAUAAUAUCGUUUUUUGUUUUUUGUUUAAUUUGAUUUGGAUGAUAGAAGAUUGGCCCAUUACAAACCAACAUAUGAAGAUAAAAAGUGAGUUUGAUGUGAUGGCAUACAUGACCGUGAGAAUAAAAAUUGAGUUCUUAAUGGAUUUAUAAUUUUAUUUAAAGUAAGGCAAAAUAUUUAAAUUUGGGCAUUUAUUUAUGUU